GAUAGAAGGGCUGUGAAUAUUACCAUAAAUAGUAUUGGCACUGAGCUUACCCGGGAUGAUCGAAGGAAGUUGUAUUCCAAUUUUGGCUUGCUUUAUCCCUAUGGUCAUGAGGAACUUGCAAUCUGUGAGGAUAUUGAUCAGGUUCGUGGUGCCAUGGAAAAAUACCCUCCCUACCAGUCAAUUUUUUCCAAGCUAUCAUAUGGUGAGAGCCAGAUGCUUG
This 220-nucleotide unclassified non-coding RNA is filed under the name Hevea brasiliensis (rubber tree). Lineage: Eukaryota; Viridiplantae; Streptophyta; Magnoliopsida; Malpighiales; Euphorbiaceae. The record is from RNAcentral.